UGUUGUCUCGUCCUCGAUGAUGAAAGAUAACUAGUGUAGUCCCGGCUUACAUCCUCUGGCGUCACACAAUUUUAAAGCUAAAAUAAAAUAUUUCUGAACGCAGUCGUACCUAGGUCCCACCACGCCAUCUAUACCUGUCAACUCAUUCGGUUUUCCGUGUUUAAUGGCGUCACGUUUGCGGUCGUGAAAAAUUUGUUAUUUUAUAGUGUUUUUUGUACUGAAUAUUCGAAAUAAUGGAAAUAAAAAGGAAAGGAGAACAUAAACUUCCUCUACUGAAAAAGAUUCGACGGUUGGAAAAGAAAAUAAUCAGUUUACCGGAAUCCGAUGACGAAGUUAAAAGGAGAUUGAAGGUGAAAUUGAAAGUGAAGAUGAGAAUGAUCAUCCUGAAACAGAAUUCCUUGAGGAUCUUAUCCUUGACGAGGAUUACAACAAAAAGGAGGAAUUAGGGGAUGAAGUACUGAAUAUACUAGGAGUGGCUCCCGCUCCAACCCCUAAGAAUGCACUUCUGCUCAAACAAAUUGCUGAGAGAUGGUGCGAGAUCCUGGAGAAAGGACUGAAAAAAGAUGAAAAAGAAACAGUUACAAAAGACAAUCCAGCCUUCCAGAAUGUACUCAAGAUGUGUGCUCAAAAACAUAAUAAGGAAGUUGCUGCUGCUCUAAAUGACAGGGCUAAGAGAAGGGAUCAAGUAAUUGAAACCCGACAGAAACAAAUGUCCACAGCCUUGGCCUGUGUAGGCCAUGCUGUACAGAUGUGUAUCGGAGAUCAUUAACAACUAAAACUGUAAUAAGAAGCUGAAUGAAGCGGGUUAGCAGCUAAGUGAUUCUAUAUGUUCCGGAAACCAAUUGAUGUAGAAACUUGGCACUCUCAACAAUAAAAAAUAACAAUCUAAGGACUCAUUACUUGAAACUGAGAAUGGAGAUUAUUUGUUUGGUAAUAAUCUGAUUGAAAAAAUAAAAACUGCAAGGGCAGUUCAAUAAUCAUGAAAGGAAUUAAAGGUGAUAGUGAAUGAGAAAAAGGAGAACUUCAUAAGGUGAUCUGAAAUCUGCUAAGAACGAGAACAAUCGUGCUUCAAACUGGUGAGGCCCUCCUCGGAUGUGAUCACAGAGGUUCCAGAGGUCAGGCGGGCCGACAUGCAAUCGUCAAAACCAGCCAGCAAGGAGACGAGGGUAAAAAUAAUGCUAAGGUAGGCAGAAUCAGUUUUUAUUCUUAACAAUUGGAAGCAAAUCACUAGUGAUCCUGUGAUAUUAUAUUGUGUCCAGGGUUAUAAAUAAUUACCUCAACAGGGGUCUCUACCCCUAAACAAUAAUUUGCUAUUGGUAGACCAACGGCAGAUUAAAUUAAAAUUUAAAUUGUUACUCAGUACGAAUGCCAUUGAAACAUGAUGGUUACAAGUGAUCGAUUCUGUUCUCCAGUCUUUGUUAUAAGAAACCAAAUGGUACCUAUGUUUCAUUUUGAAUUUGAAAAACUUAACACUUGUGAAUACUGAACAUUUUAAACUAGAGGAUUAUCGCACAGUAUGUAAGCUUAUACAGAAUAAUUAUUACCUAUUUAGUAACUUUAGAUCACAAAGAUGCAUAUUACCUGACUAAUAUAAAUGACUGUUGUUAAAAAGUAUUUAAGGUAAAGUAUUUAUUUAUUUUUAUGAAGGAAAACAUUACUAAGUAAAUGUUGUUGGACUUUAGAAAAUUACAGCAAAUUACAGCUGCUCUAUGAGAGAAAAGUUGCAUUUCAAUUAUUUAUAAUUGACAAUUAUCCGGGUAUUGGUAAAGACUAUAUUAUGUUUUAAUAAUAUGAACAUGAUUUUAGAUCUUAUCCACAUAAAGUUUUAUUGUUAACAAAGAAAAGUGUGAUCUGAUUCUCAAACAGUAACGUUAACUUCAGUAAGGUUUCUUUAAUACAGUACAAAUGACAUUAAUGUAUAUUAUCUAACUAAAAGAAAGUAAAUUCUUUAAAUUGAUUAAAGAGUUAUAGUCAAAGGUGAUGUUCACAAUAAGUUCAUGUGCCAAGUAAGCUUGAAGCUAUAUGUCUAGCCAUAAAAUACGGUAUUUUAUACACCAAAUAAUUAACUAAAAUUUCUUGCAGUUAAAAAGUAGGUAUAAUGAUAAAAAUGAAUACAAAAUUUCUUUUAACAAUCAACGUAGAGAGGCGGAGCAAUAGUGUAAAUGAAUCUAAGAAUACUAUUAGAAAAAACACUUAAAUAUCCGAGAUAUUUAGUGAUGCUUCUAUGACAGUAUGGGGAGCUUCAUGUGGUACAAGUCUUACAGACGUAGUAUGGUCAGAGGACAAACUAGGCUCUCAUAUAAAUGCUCUUGAAUUAAAAGCUGCCUGCAUCAAAGUUAACAAAAUACCAAAUACUUCUUAGAAUAGACAAUGUUACUGCUAUCCAUAUGUAUAAACAGACUAGGUGGUAUUCAAUAUCUACAUUUACAUAGCCUUGCAAAACAAAUAUGGCAAUGGUGUGAAUUAAGAGAUAUUUAUAAUCAGUUUAUGUACAUAAACAUCAAAAUUAAUGUAAUUGCAGUUUUUUGAACCAAGGAAACCACCAAGUAACAUAGAGUGGGAAAUUAAUUACAUUUUGAACAAAUAACUUCAACCUUAGGAACACCAUCCAUAGAUCUCUUCGCAACAAAGACUAACAAGAAAUGUCAUUGAUUUGUAUCACCGCGUCCUGACCUGGAUGCAUUUGCAAUUGAUGUAUUUACACUUUGUUGAUAUCAACUGAAGUUUCAUAUUAAUUUCCAACAUGAUCCUUAAAACCGUGGAAAAAAUAGUUUUCAGAUAAAGGGCAUAGGGGUAGUUCCAUAUUGGAACACCAUAUUAUGUUUAUGAGAUAGCUAGUUCACAAACCAUCAAUUUUGAAACUUACUAAAGAUUUACUUAUAUUACAAAAUUCCAAAGAACCACACCCCGUGCACAAGAACCUAGACUGAUGGCAGGAGUAUUAUCAGGCAGGCCUUAAUAAAAUCUGGAAUCAGUGAGAUUAUGAGAUCCGAGAUCAUGUCAGUUUCUAUAUCUGUUAAUACAUUAAAACAAUACCAACCAUGUAUUGUAGUAUGGACUAAGUAUGCACAAGAAUUAUGGCUAUCAACAAAAUAAGCCAAGCUUUCCAGAUGUUAUUACUUAUUUAACUAAAAAGUUUCACGAGGUAUUGUCAUAAGGUAGUUUGAAUUAUAUUAGAUCAGCAUUGUCAUUAAUUUUAUAGGUACUCACCUCGACGAAACAGAUGAAAAUAUCAAAAGAUUGUUUAAAGGAUUCUUUAAGUUAAGACCUAGUGCUCCUAAAUAUAAUGAUACAUGGGAUGUAUCCACAGUUCUUAAGUAUAGGUAUUGAAAUGGAAUAUAAAAAUAGACUGCUAUAUUGUAAUUUUAGCCACAUGUCAAAGAAUGCGAACAUUAAAUUUAAUUGAAAUAAACAACAUAGUUAUUAAGGAUGAUUGUGUAACAAUUAAAAUUGAUAAAUUAAAUUAAAAUUAAUAAAGACCUCUGGUCAAGUCUGAUACGUGUCAGCCAUUUACAUUACCUUUCUUUAGGGAUAAAGUAGAGAUCUGUCCUGCUCAAGCACUUAGUGAUUAGUUUGGUGCAAUAAAACAUCUUAGAAAACCACACAAAAAGGUUUCCUCCAGCACAAUCAGCUGUUGGAUAGAGACGUGCAUGACAGAAAGUGGUAUAGACACAUCAAUCUUUACCAUACAUUCAUAGCAUUAGGCACGCUACAACAUCUGCAAUGUUAAAAAAAAAAAAAAAAA
This is a long non-coding RNA of Ostrinia furnacalis (Asian corn borer), 3745 nucleotides long. RefSeq lists it as uncharacterized. The transcript is spliced from 2 exons. The record is from RefSeq and is a predicted model, not a curated record. Lineage: Eukaryota; Metazoa; Arthropoda; Insecta; Lepidoptera; Crambidae.